This 375-nucleotide long non-coding RNA is filed under the name Mytilus galloprovincialis (Mediterranean mussel). Lineage: Eukaryota; Metazoa; Mollusca; Bivalvia; Mytilida; Mytilidae. The record is from RNAcentral.
GCCCUGCUGAACUGUAGAAUUUUAAUGUUUUGUUUCAUAGAUCACCGGAGUACUACAACAUUCUUAUCUUUACUCUUUCCUAUCGGGUAGUGAAACUUGAGUUUGAAAUUAGAAAGAUUUAAAAUUGUGCACAAGUUUUAUCUGAUCUUUUGUGGGUUUAUGUUGUUCAAGGUAAUUUUCGGUGCAGUUAUUUUCUUUUCAUUUGUUAUUUUUUCCUCUGUGUUACACGACCUUGUACUUUUUGUAUUGCCCCUUGACAUCUCCUGCUUCUGUUUAAACCUUUUCCACCAAUAUCUUUUAUUUAAAACAGAUGUCAUCUGUUUUAAAUAAAAUAGUCUCAUUCCCGGAAUUUGUUAUACAGUAAUUCAUUUUAAU